CUGUGUUCAGCUUUCACUCAAACCAUGUUCUCUACAUUUCUCCUCCUGCUGUUAACAGCUGCAUCUGGAAUUAAAUGUAUUGAACUGGUUCAGCCUGCAGUCAUGGUGGUUAAGCCUGGAGAAUCAUUUCAAGUCCCCUGUAAGAUCACUGGGUACACCGCCACAAGCACCUGUACUGACUGGAUACGACAAGCAUCAAGAAAAACCCUAGAAAUUAUCGGCUGGUACUGCAGCUCCAGUGAUACUGGCAGCAAAGAUUCACUAAAGAACAAAAUCCAUUACUCAGCCGAGGCCUCCAGCAACACUGUGAUCUUACACGGGCAAAACUUUCAGGCUGAGGACACAGCUGUGUAUUACUGCGCUCGUAACACAGUGAAACAGAUCAACGAGGAUCCUGUACAAAAACACACAGUACAGGAGACCGUUAGGGGCAGAAAAUAUUUUUUCCUCUAAAUGUUUUGUCUUCUAAGUUCAGACAAGUGUGUAAAGACAGCA
Non-coding RNA from Silurus meridionalis, 495 nucleotides. NCBI's taxonomy places the organism in Eukaryota, Metazoa, Chordata, Actinopteri, Siluriformes, Siluridae. The record is from the annotation of a RefSeq genome assembly.